GAUCAUGUUACGUUCAUUUUGAUCACAUAUCUGAGGUACAAAAAUAAAAAGAUACAAAAUUAAGGAGUUGCAACCUCGACUUCAGACUUGGACAUCACCUCGAGCAGAUCUUCAGCUAUCUUGCAAAACUUCACCACCCAUGAAACUAUGAUUUUUAUAUGUGCAAGGGUGGUUAGCAUCAUUUUGUAUCAUUGCAUGG
This 199-nucleotide long non-coding RNA is filed under the name Elaeis guineensis (African oil palm). RNAcentral's name for it is "long non-coding RNA (EGUI_LNC058776)". The record is from RNAcentral. Lineage: Eukaryota; Viridiplantae; Streptophyta; Magnoliopsida; Arecales; Arecaceae.